CCUACGGGUGGCAGCAGUGGGGAAUAUUGGACAAUGGGCGAAAGCCUGAUCCAGCCAUGCCGCGUGUGUGAAGAAGGCCUUCGGGUUGUAAAGCACUUUCAGUGGGGAAGAAAGCCUUGGGGCUAAUACCCUCGAGGAAGGACAUCACCCACAGAAGAAGCACCGGCUAACUCCGUGCCAGCAGCCGCGGUAAUACGGAGGGUGCGAGCGUUAAUCGGAAUUACUGGGCGUAAAGCGCGCGUAGGCGGUCUGAUAAGCCGGUUGUGAAAGCCCCGGGCUCAACCUGGGAACGGCAUCCGGAACUGUCAGGCUAGAGUGCAGGAGAGGAAGGUAGAAUUCCCGGUGUAGCGGUGAAAUGCGUAGAGGUCGGGAGGAAUACCAGUGGCGAAGGCGGCCUUCUGGACUGACACUGACGCUGAGGUGCGAAAGCGUGGGUAGCAAACGGGAUUAGAUCCCCUAGAGUC
Molecule: ribosomal RNA, 464 nt
Filed under: Vreelandella stevensii
Lineage: Bacteria; Pseudomonadati; Pseudomonadota; Gammaproteobacteria; Oceanospirillales; Halomonadaceae
Description: partial 16S ribosomal RNA
Rfam family: Bacterial small subunit ribosomal RNA
Source: RNAcentral